This 253-nucleotide long non-coding RNA is filed under the name Elaeis guineensis (African oil palm). RNAcentral describes it as "long non-coding RNA (EGUI_LNC008782)". The record is from RNAcentral. Lineage: Eukaryota; Viridiplantae; Streptophyta; Magnoliopsida; Arecales; Arecaceae.
GGCCGAAAUUCGAGCCGUACACAACUCGUACCUAUUGCACCGACGUUAAAAGAAUUGAAAUUCAAAUCGCCUCCACAUGACAGGUGCCGUCGCAUGUUCUUGCAUGCCUCUUCGAAAGUGGCACAGGAUAUGAUUCGCCCAUCACUCGCAUUAACUACCACAUCAAUGGCAGGAGUCACAUCCCGUCAAGGGUUGCCACGCAUCAGGUGUCCGCUCUCGCUCUGUCGAUUCACGCCUACAAUAAUCAAUGCUC